Long non-coding RNA from Gasterosteus aculeatus aculeatus (three-spined stickleback), 2128 nucleotides. RefSeq lists it as uncharacterized. Lineage: Eukaryota; Metazoa; Chordata; Actinopteri; Perciformes; Gasterosteidae. The record is from RefSeq and is a predicted model, not a curated record.
CAAAAAAGGCAAAAGAUGGAUUUUAUAGGGAGCACCUGAAGGCAGCACAGCUAUUGCUGUCACUUCUAAAAAGCGCUGCAUGGUUGUUGCUUCGUUAGACAACUAACGUUACCCAAGUUCCCGUUGCGGAGGAUCUACAGCUCUGCUGGGUCGCAAUUUGUCGUCAUCGACUCCACCGGCCGGGGCAAGCCUCCGUACACCAGCCCGGGCCACUCAACGUAGCUUGAAUGCUAGGUUGCUAACACCGACCACAGCUAACGGUCUACAAUCGCAGAGAUUUGUGAAAUAAAAGUGGAAACUAACGAGCGGAGCAUAUGACAUUCCUCUGCCUCAGCCGAGGACCCACGGGAUGGAUUUCAAUUUAUGGGGGGGAAAUCUUUUUUCUUUCUUUUUUUCGUUUAUGCUCCGUUUUGAGGGAAAACCAAUGGAACAACAUGUUUACAACCAGAACUGACCUGGUAAAAUGUUUAUUUUGUCCAAUUUAUGGAGAGAGAAAUAAGUGACUGCUGAGCAGAGGUGCAAACUACACUUUUCUUUUAAUCUGACUUUUUCAUCAUGGAUUUUGACCUCCACAUCUACCGCUGUUCUUCACUGCAUCUUGAUGUUGACUCCCACAAGGAGAAUACUUCAUCAAGUAAAAGCUCUUCUUCAAAAACGGAAGUUUUGGGGGCCCACUAAUUUAACGAUCCACCACAGAUGCCUAGUUUCGGCUGAAUUGAACUGUUCUUCCCCAUUUUUAAGUUUGUGACGCUGUGACCCCACGUUUAUGCAACGCAAGUAGCACUUUCACUUCAGCAAACUAUCUGACAGCGCGUAGGGCUUCCUCAAGGCGAUGUCUCACCGAGCAGUAACCGCAGGGAAAUACCGUUACUCCAUGGCAGAUGCAAUUUGGGCUAAACCCUGACACACAAUAGAUACUACACGUGCAUGUAUUGUAGGCAUACGUGUCAUUUUCCUAAACCUAACCCAGUAGUGUUGAUGCCUAUAAGCUGAACCAGGGGAAAAUACCCGAAGCAUCCAUCAAAAACCUACUUUGUCCCUCCUCCUACCACCGCCUACUACUAUUACUACUACCGCUAAAUCAGAUGGCGCUUUCUGGCGGAAAACUAAAAGGAAGUACGAUAUAUUUAACUUGGCAGGUUGUAAAUGGCCAAUUAGGAAAUAGACACUCCAUUAUAUUGGGUGUAGGCCAAUAACUUUUGAGUUACGGUGCAGAGAAGAGUACACCAGGAACUAAAGUUUCUCUGGCGUGCAGAGCGCUAGCAAUGGUUGUCUUUAUGUCUAGUUUAGUAAAGAGUCACCUAACCAAAUGAUGGAAAGCCUUGUUCCCUUCUGUUGUAGUUCUGUUUUGGAAAACUCAUGACAUGAAUUACGUCUCUGUUUCAUUAAGUAAGACAAAUGUAAUACUUUUUGUGUUUUUAUUAUUAUUAAUAAUAUUGUUAUUAGCAGUGGCCGGCUAUGCUCUUUUACAACAAAUGCUAAAGUUACAUUUCCUCCUUAACUAACCAACAUCCUUCACGCUUUGUGUGUGUCUUUCGUUAUGUGGCUGCCCUUGAAUAGAGGCAACUUUUAAUUCAUCCCAACAAAAAAAGUAAAAGGAACUUCUGAUAAAUCCGGACUUUCCAUUACAGAAAACUAUCCGGCGUGACGGAUAAUGCGGUUUCUUUACCCUCCAGAGUCAUGGAAUCCAAUGGUAAAGAGAAACCUUUGAAUAAACUAGCGUCUGUACACAUACCACACACGCAGCCAGCCCACAACCAAGAAAAAAGACCCUCAGCAAACCACUAAUUCAAAUAGCUGCACAGGCUGGUCACUGUUAAGACUCUCUUUAGCUCCAGGCUAAAAGGCAGCAACAGGCGGUGUUUUGUAAUAGGCAAGAAAAAAAAUGAGAGGGAAAAUAUCAAUGUGACCUUUGGGAAAGGGCAAAUCAAAUUGCCAUUUAGCAUUCGUUAAGGAAGUGCACUAUAAAGCUCUCAAGUUGAGGAUGAUCAUGUAUUUUCUGUAUUACUUGAUCCGCAGUUCAGUCAUCACGAUAAAACAUGUACAACCACGUCUGAGCUGUUUAUCGCACAAUGUGUGAGAACAAAAACUCUGAUCGGCCUCAAUAAACGGGCAACAAAGUGGCAAA